CCUACGGGAGACAGCAGUGAGGAAUAUUGGUCAAUGGCCGGAAGGCUGAACCAGCCAUGCCGCGUGAAGGUCAGUGCCCUAUGGGCGUUAAACUUCUUUUGUGCGGGAGCAAUAAUGGUCACGUGUGGCCAGACGAGAGUACCGUACGAAUAAGCAUCGGCUAACUCCGUGCCAGCAGCCGCGGUAAUACGGGGGAUGCAAGCGUUAUCCGGAUUUAUUGGGUUUAAAGGGUGCGUAGGCUGUGAGGUAAGUCAGCGGGGAAAUGCCCCCGCUCAACGGGGUGAAGUGCCAUUGAUACUGCCUUGCUGGAAUGCGGAUGCCGUGGGAAGAAUGUGUGGUGUAGCGGUGAAAUGCAUAGAUAUCACACAGAACACCGAUUGCGAAGGCAUCUCACGAAGCCGCGAUUGACGCUGAUGCACGAAAGCGUGGGUAUCAAACAGGAUUAGAUACCCCUGUAGUC
RNAcentral lists this ribosomal RNA (460 nucleotides) under uncultured bacterium. Its description in RNAcentral is "partial 16S ribosomal RNA". It matches the Rfam family "Bacterial small subunit ribosomal RNA", at positions 338 to 795 of the family's 1533-position model. The record is from RNAcentral.